AAGUCGUAACAAGGUUUCCGUAGGUGAACCUGCGGAAGGAUCAUUAACACGUAUCCAACGUUAAAACAACCCUGUGAACCUUCAAUCUUGCUCGCGUGGCUCCAUGAAAGCAGCAAUCCCUGGUAAAUCAUCGCCGAACAGUUUUGAUUCUGGGACUUCCUCAAAGAGUGUGCAUGUUGCGCGAGGCAAGUGGCCUGGCAUUCCCAAGCAGUUAAUGUCUGAAAGUGUCAUUAGCUGUGUAAGGAUGACGCAGUAACGAUCGUUGGAGGCCGACACGGCCGACGACCGGGUCACCGGGCGCAAGCCCCUUUAUCACCACUUAAUGCAUGACAGACGCGCCAGCGCUUAAUUGUGCGGCGACCAAAAACCGAACAACUGUUAACAAUGGAUAUCUUGGUUCUC
RNAcentral lists this unclassified non-coding RNA (402 nucleotides) under fungal sp. RNAcentral's name for it is "partial internal transcribed spacer region". The stretch from base 1 to 46 matches the Rfam family "Eukaryotic small subunit ribosomal RNA", at positions 1786 to 1831 of the family's 1831-position model. Lineage: Eukaryota; Fungi. The record is from RNAcentral.